CCUACGGGUGGCAGCAGUGGGGAAUAUUGGGCAAUGGACGAAAGCCUGACCCAGCAACGCCGCGUGAGCGAUGAAGGUCUUCGGAUCGUAAAGCUCUGUCGCAGGGGACGAAGUAUGACGGUACUCAGUAAGAGAGCCUUGGCAAACUACGUGCCAGCAGCCGCGGUAAUACGUAGGGGGCUAGCCGUGGCCGGAAUUACUGGGCGUAAAGGGAGCGUAGGCGGUUUGUCAAGUUAAGUGUGAAAGCCCGGGGCUUAACCGGGGAAGUGCACUUGAAACUGACUUGCUGGAGUGCAGGAGAGGAGAGUGGAAUUCCAGGUGUAGCGGUGGAAUGCGUAGAUAUUUGGAGGAACACCAGUGGCGAAGGCGACUAACUGGACUGUAACUGACGUUGAGGCGCGAAAGCGUGGGGAGCAAACAGGAUAAGAUACCCGGGUAGUC
RNAcentral lists this ribosomal RNA (441 nucleotides) under uncultured bacterium. RNAcentral describes it as "partial 16S ribosomal RNA". It matches the Rfam family "Bacterial small subunit ribosomal RNA", at positions 338 to 795 of the family's 1533-position model. The record is from RNAcentral.